GGUGGGCACUCUAGAAUGACUGCCGGUGACAAACCGGAGGAAGGCGGGGAUGACGUCAAAUCAUCAUGCCCCUUAUGACUUGGGCUACACACGUACUACAAUGGCUGGUACAACGGGAAGCGAAGCCGCGAGGUGGAGCCAAUCCUAUAAAAGCCAGUCUCAGUUCGGAUUGCAGGCUGCAACUCGCCUGCAUGAAGUCGGAAUUGCUAAUAAUCGCGGAUCAGC
This 225-nucleotide ribosomal RNA is filed under the name bacterium HC-1(2013). RNAcentral's name for it is "partial 16S ribosomal RNA". It matches the Rfam family "Bacterial small subunit ribosomal RNA", at positions 1130 to 1353 of the family's 1533-position model. The record is from RNAcentral.